Molecule: ribosomal RNA, 702 nt
Filed under: uncultured bacterium
Lineage: Bacteria
Description: bacterial SSU rRNA
Rfam family: Bacterial small subunit ribosomal RNA
Source: RNAcentral
UGGCGAACGGGUGAGUAACACGUGAGCAAUCUGCCCUUGACUCUGGGAUAACUCCGAGAAAUCGGUGCUAAUACCGGAUAUGACCCCUGGCGGCAUCGCUGGGGGUGGAAAGUUUUUCGGUCAAGGAUGAGCUCGCGGCCUAUCAGCUAGUUGGUGAGGUAAUGGCUCACCAAGGCGACGACGGGUAGCCGGCCUGAGAGGGUGACCGGCCACACUGGGACUGAGACACGGCCCAGACUCCUACGGGAGGCAGCAGUGGGGAAUAUUGCACAAUGGGCGCAAGCCUGAUGCAGCAACGCCGCGUGGGGGAUGACGGCCUUCGGGUUGUAAACCUCUUUUAGCAGGGAAGAAGCGAAAGUGACGGUACCUGCAGAAAAAGCACCGGCUAACUACGUGCCAGCAGCCGCGGUAAUACGUAGGGUGCAAGCGUUGUCCGGAAUUAUUGGGCGUAAAGAGCUCGUAGGCGGUUGGUCGCGUCUGCUGUGAAAACCCGAGGCUCAACCUCGGGCCUGCAGUGGGUACGGGCCAACUAGAGUGCGGUAGGGGAGAUCGGAAUUCCUGGUGUAGCGGUGGAAUGCGCAGAUAUCAGGAGGAACACCAAUGGCGAAGGCAGAUCUCUGGGCCGUAACUGACGCUGAGGAGCGAAAGCGUGGGGAGCGAACAGGAUUAGACACCCUGGUAGUCCACGCCGUAAACGGUGGG